UUUAAGGUCUAAUCUCGAAAGAGAGCGGAGAAACCGUUAUUGGGGUGAAGCGCUUAGCGCUGGGCUAUCCUCUGUCCUAACCCGUCAGCUAACUUCGCAGACUAUUGAGGGG
This 112-nucleotide small RNA is filed under the name chicken gut metagenome. RNAcentral describes it as "ydaO/yuaA leader". It matches the Rfam family "c-di-AMP riboswitch aptamer (ydaO/yuaA leader)", at positions 11 to 127 of the family's 134-position model. Rfam says of the family: This family represents a conserved RNA structure found upstream of the ydaO and yuaA genes in Bacillus subtilis and related genes in other bacteria. The ydaO/yuaA element is thought to act as a genetic "off" switch for the ydaO and yuaA genes in its native state. The record is from RNAcentral.